This 308-nucleotide long non-coding RNA is filed under the name Gossypium raimondii (Peruvian cotton). RNAcentral describes it as "long non-coding RNA (GRAI_LNC009887)". Lineage: Eukaryota; Viridiplantae; Streptophyta; Magnoliopsida; Malvales; Malvaceae. The record is from RNAcentral.
UUCGAGUCUCUGCAUAAGUGAAAAGGGAAUGUAUAUUUUUAUUUUAUUUAUUUUUCUACUCGCAAUUAGUUAUUUUAAAUUAAUUAAAUGGUUUCCUUCUUUCCCUUUUUCUUUUUAUGUUUCUUUUUGUUUUUAUUUUUGCUUCCUGUCGUUCCUUUCCUUUGCUUGCUCAUUGAUUUCUCUCUAUUAAACUUUUGCUACAGUUUGUAGGGAAAAUUGCAUAUUUCAUUAUUUUUUGACUGAAAGGUUAACUACGUAAGUUUUGUUGUUGAAUUUCUAUUAACGUUCGUUAUCGUUCGUUGUUGUCA